This is a long non-coding RNA of Oncorhynchus nerka (sockeye salmon), 2077 nucleotides long. RefSeq lists it as uncharacterized. The record is from RefSeq and is a predicted model, not a curated record. The transcript is spliced from 3 exons. Lineage: Eukaryota; Metazoa; Chordata; Actinopteri; Salmoniformes; Salmonidae.
UGUCACAUCGAGAAAAUAUCCUUCCUCAGUGACAAGAUAGUAGAGAAACAGCAUUGUUCUUCCUGAUUAUUAUUUACAUCUGGAUAAUCUCUGAGUUUCCUCCGUGUAGGCUUUUUACGCACAGCAGAAACGCGUGGAUUAAUACAAAUACUAAACUAGUUGGGGGAACAGAGAACGUGAAAAUUGUCGAGAAGCCUCAAGUGGAGAGAUAGAGAGAGAGAGAGAGAGAAUGGACCAGUCUGGAGAGGCUGAGAACAAUGCUGCUGCAGUGGCCACAACAUCAGCGUUGGGUGGAGAAAGCUGAGAUCCUGGAACACAGUGUUCUCUUUCUCCGGAAUGCUGGCAUUGGGGUCAGGAAGAAAGCUAAAGGUGAGGAGCAUCGAGGUCGCGGCUUAAGCUCAACUCGCUGCCCGGCACAACACGCCACCAGUCCUUACCCAUCAUGAAGAUACAGGAAUCCCGAUACAGACAGCAGCUUUGUGCAGUCAGGAUAAAUCAUCCUCACAGAGCUCCGCUCCGACAUGGAGCAACGCUCCCCAGCAGCACCACAGACACGCUGCCAAAGAAGCCCAAUCUCAGAACCUCUCAGCCAGCCAGUCUGUGUGGAGGCCGUGGCUCUGAUCUACCACAGGAUAUUGAACUGUAAACAACUGCCACAUCCGUUGCUGCUGAGACUGCUACGGAGUCAUUCAUUUAUGUAGUGUUGUGAACACUGAACUCAUGGACUCCAUAGAUUUGCAGUGAUCUGACCGUAUUGUAGCUAUACCGCAUAGCAGAAUAUAUCUGUAAUUAUUGCACAAUUACUUCGACUUUGCCAUCACUACAUCUGCUGAUGUAAAAAGGUCUUUAUAAAUACAUUUGAUUAGAUGAUUACAACAUGUACUAUGUAUAACUUGUAGUACGAGAUGGGCAGUAUUUCUGUUACAUGUAUUUGAAAAAUGUAUUUCAAUUACUUCUGAGUUUUGUAUUACAUGGGGCUGAACAAGACUUCAAUGUAUUUUGUAACCAGAUCAAAUCGAGAACUCUUUGUAUUUACAAAAUACUUUUCUAUACCAUUUUUUAAAUUUUUAUACUGGUUCACCAUUUUGUGGCCCCCUUUCACCCUGCAUUGGUAUCAGAAGUCUGAUGGCACUAUGGUGUGAUAAGAGCAUAUUUAGUCAGUGCAUUUAUUUUCGCAGCAAAGUACGUUCAUCUCUAGGAGACAGAAUGUGUCUCCUUCCUGAGCGGUAUGAUGGCAGUGUGGUCCCAUGGUGUUUAAACUUGCGUACUGUUGUUUGUACAGAUGAAUGUGGUACAUUCAGGCGUUUGAAAAUAGUUCCCAAGGAUGAACCAGACUUGUGGAGGUCUACAAUUUUUUUUUUUCUUAGGUUUUGGCUGAUUUCUUUUGAUUUUCCCAUGAUGUCAAGCAAAGAGGCACUGAGUUUCAAGGUAGGCCUUGAAAUACAUCCACAGGUACACCUCCAAUUGACUCAAAUGAUGUCAAUUAGCCUAUCAGAAGCUUCUAAAGCCAUGACAUUUUCUGGAAUUUUCCAAGCCGUUUAAAGGCACAGUCAACUUAGUGUUUGUAAAUUUCUGACCCACUGAAAUUGUAAUACAGUGAAUUAUAAGAUAAAUAAUCUGUAAACAAUUGUGGUAAAAAUUACUUGUGUUAUGAACAAAGUAGAUGUCCUAACCGACUUGCCAAAACUAUAGAAAUUUGUGGAGUGGUUGAAAAACAACUUUUAAUGGCUCCAACCUACGUGUAUGUAAACCUCAACUGUAAACUUCAAUUGUAGAAUAAAAAAACAAACCUAUUACAGUUAUAGCAAGUAAAAUGUUUCUGUUUCUGAUUGGGCUGAAUACUUGCAAAUGUAUUUAUGUGUUAUAAAAUAGAAAAUGCAUGUAUUUUGUAGUUUAUUUUUGAUACACUGAGCUUUAUGGUAUUUACGACCAACCUUGAAUUGAGAAGGAAGAUAGUAUUGCCAAGUUAAGGGGUCUCCGGUACCUUUGUAUACUUGUUGCUGGUGGUUCGUUAUGAAUGUAUUAAAUUCUCCUUUAUUCACAUAAAUACAAAAUCUCUGUAGGUAGUGGCCACGAG